UACGAAGGGUACGAGCGUUAUUCGGAGUUACUGGGCGUAAAGAGCGUGUAGGCGGUUAGUUAAGUUAGUUGUUAAAUUCCCCGGCCUAACUGGGGAUCAGCAGCUAAAACUGGCUGGCUAGAGUACAAGAGAGAGAAGUAGAAUUCCCGGAGUAGCGGUAAAAUGCGUAGAUCUCGGGAGGAAUACCGAUGGCGAAGGCAGCUUCUUAGCUUGUAACUGACGCUAAAGCGCGAAAGCGUGGGGAG
RNAcentral lists this ribosomal RNA (245 nucleotides) under uncultured bacterium. Its description in RNAcentral is "partial 16S ribosomal RNA". It matches the Rfam family "Bacterial small subunit ribosomal RNA", at positions 524 to 768 of the family's 1533-position model. The record is from RNAcentral.